This 253-nucleotide ribosomal RNA is filed under the name uncultured bacterium. RNAcentral describes it as "partial 16S ribosomal RNA". It matches the Rfam family "Archaeal small subunit ribosomal RNA", at positions 474 to 727 of the family's 1478-position model. The record is from RNAcentral.
UACCAGCACCCCGAGUGGUCGGGACGAUUAUUGGGCCUAAAGCAUCCGUAGCCGGUCAUGCAAGUCUUCCGUUAAAUCCAGCCGCUCAACGGUUGGGCUGCGGAGGAUACUACGUGGCUAGGAGGCGGGAGAGGCAAGCGGUACUCAGUGGGUAGGGGUAAAAUCCUUUGAUCCAUUGAAGACCACCAGUGGCGAAGGCGGCUUGCCAGAAUGCGCUCGACGGUGAGGGAUGAAAGCUGGGGGAGCAAACCGG